Molecule: long non-coding RNA, 1188 nt
Organism: Alosa sapidissima (American shad)
Lineage: Eukaryota; Metazoa; Chordata; Actinopteri; Clupeiformes; Clupeidae
Exons: 3
Source: RefSeq, a predicted model, not a curated record
ACCUUGUUUCUGUCUUUUCCCCAUGUCUCCCUGUUUUCCCUACAUGUCCCACACUGGCCUGCUCCCGCUAACUAGGGGGGCGUGGUGAUUAGUUACACACCGGAGUUCGUUCGCACUGAUUACUGGCCGGACAGUAUAAAACCACCCAGGUACGAAGAAGCGUUGUAAGCUCUGCCUGUUUAACCCCCUAGCGUGUCGGAUUUAGUCAUCAGCUUCGUGGUCACCGGCUAGUCUGCUCCUGCUGCCCGUGUGUUAGACACCAUCCCUUAUUCAUUCUACAGCUGAACGUGGGUGAGUGCUCCCCAUACGGCGCUUUGUGCACUAAUCGUAGUUACGAACAUAGGUAUGUACGAUGCUUGCUUUAAUGGGUAACUUUCUAGGCGGCAGUAGAAGGCUUUAUGUUCAAUGUCUUUUCUGUCCUGUCCAGGUAGCGCGGCCUUUUCCAUCUACGCGGGGUGCAUAGCGUGGGUCGUGCUGCUGUCUUGUCUGUAGUUAUUUUAUUUUGGUGUAGCCUAAUUGUGUGCGGUUUUUCAAGUACGUUCUGUGUUUCUUUUUGUGGGCAUUAAUUUAGUGUCUACGUCUGCCUGUGUUUGGGUUUAUUUGGCGUUUAUGUCAGCCUGCAUGUUGCUUGCCGCAUUAGUAGAGAGGAACUGGGCAUAAGUGGCAUAUGCUUCAUCCUGGUAACUGCUUAGGUUCUGUCUGGUGCUGGCUGUCAUUUGCGUGUGUUUGUAUUUCUUUUGUCCUGGUGUGCCUGCAUUAUCUACCAUAACGUCUGUAUUGGCUGACUGUAUUUUUGCCCCCCCCCGCCCUUGUGGUGCUGUUUUAUUUGUUUGUUUGGCAGAUAUGGGGCCCUCUUUGAGGGAGGCUAGUCACCUGGUGGUGGGACCCUGUAGCUGCACAUUUGUGGUGUCAUUGUUGCUUGCGGUGGGCUGCUGUGUCACUGGUAAGUCACUUUCUUGCAGUGUGUAUGCACGUGUGAUGGCUGGAACUUAGAACACACCUCCAGUUAGUCUGUCUCCCUCAGGUAAGCCCCCAUCUGCUGUAUCUUUUUAGCUCCAGUGGAGCCUGGCCCCACUUUAGAAAUCACCUGUUCAUAUUGUAUCAUAAUAAAAGAACAAUAAUAAAUAUUUUUGUACUUUCAUAACCUCUGACUCGUUUCAGGUAUUAUUGCAGGACACUCCUCCCUUC